RNAcentral lists this small nuclear RNA (298 nucleotides) under Nannospalax galili (Upper Galilee mountains blind mole rat). RNAcentral describes it as "7SK RNA (ENSNGAG00000003057.1)". The stretch from base 1 to 266 matches the Rfam family "7SK RNA". Rfam says of the family: 7SK was discovered as an abundant small nuclear RNA in the mid-70s but a possible function has only recently been suggested. Two independent studies have found that 7SK RNA binds the CDK9/cyclin T complex (known as elongation factor P-TEFb). Lineage: Eukaryota; Metazoa; Chordata; Mammalia; Rodentia; Spalacidae. The record is from RNAcentral.
GGUUAUGAGGAAGAUUUGGAUGGUAUACCUUCCAGCCCACUGGUCACCAGGGCUGAGUUCCCUUCCUCCCUCACCACUCCACAUGCCUCCCUCUUGAAGGUAUAAGCUCAGUCUAAGAAGACAACCUUUCCUGAUAGAAAAGGAUCGCUCUUCAGUCAAUGGUACCUGUGCUGUCCUGCCAACACAUCGAAACAAGCUCUCGGAUUUCUAGAUUAGGGAUGUUCUAUUGCUAGAGUCUGCAGAUAGUCCAAAGUCUGAAAGAUCCUGAAAUCUAAAACACUUCUGGCCUCAAGCAUUU